AACAAGCAAGUACAGGAGCAAAACCUGCUAUAAAUUUUAACUUGUGCUAGAAAAUUGCUACAAGCAUUUCUUGUCAAGUGAAGUAGGAGAAUUGCUAGUGCCUCACAGGAGUGCUUGGUUAAAAAUAAUCCCAUGACACCAAGAAAUAAGAACAUAACAGUAGUGGCUUAUAAACCCAAAACUAGACAUAGCUAAAGAAUAUUUUUGCUCAAGUUUGAU
This 219-nucleotide unclassified non-coding RNA is filed under the name Hevea brasiliensis (rubber tree). Lineage: Eukaryota; Viridiplantae; Streptophyta; Magnoliopsida; Malpighiales; Euphorbiaceae. The record is from RNAcentral.